UCCUACGGGAGGCAGCAGUGAGGAAUAUUGGACAAUGGGCGCAAGCCUGAUCCAGCCAUGCCGCGUGCAGGAUGACGGUCCUAUGGAUUGUAAACUGCUUUUGCACAGGAAGAAACACUCCCUCGUGAGGGAGCUUGACGGUACUGUGAGAAUAAGGAUCGGCUAACUCCGUGCCAGC
RNAcentral lists this ribosomal RNA (178 nucleotides) under uncultured Flavobacterium sp. RNAcentral describes it as "16S ribosomal RNA". It matches the Rfam family "Bacterial small subunit ribosomal RNA", at positions 337 to 512 of the family's 1533-position model. Lineage: Bacteria; Pseudomonadati; Bacteroidota; Flavobacteriia; Flavobacteriales; Flavobacteriaceae. The record is from RNAcentral.